Molecule: long non-coding RNA, 186 nt
Organism: Alosa sapidissima (American shad)
Lineage: Eukaryota; Metazoa; Chordata; Actinopteri; Clupeiformes; Clupeidae
Exons: 4
Source: RefSeq, a predicted model, not a curated record
AAAAAUCAGGUACCCUUUUGGGCUAUAAAUGGUGAGCAACCCACAGCAACACAGCAUGGAUCCGCACUGCAUACUCCGCCCCCAAUGACUAUGCCCUCCCCCAUACCCAAUAGUAUGGCACACACAGAGGACACUAAUAAACAGACAGGGGAAUAGGGGAGUGGAGAGGUAAUUACGUUGGCCGGC